GGCGAGUGGCGAACGGGUGAGUAACAUAUCGGAACGUACCGAGCAGUGGGGGAUAACUAAUCGAAAGAUUAGCUAAUACCGCAUAUUUUCUGAGGAAGAAAGCAGGGGACCAUUUGGCCUUGCGCUGUUUGAGCGGCCGAUAUCUGAUUAGCUAGUUGGUGGGGUAAAGGCCUACCAAGGCGACGAUCAGUAGCGGGUCUGAGAGGAUGAUCCGCCACACUGGGACUGAGACACGGCCCAGACUCCUACGGGAGGCAGCAGUGGGGAAUUUUGGACAAUGGGCGCAAGCCUGAUCCAGCCAUGCCGCGUGUCUGAAGAAGGCCUUCGGGUUGUAAAGGACUUUUGUCAGGGAAGAAAAGGAUAGGGUUAAUACCCCUGUCUGAUGACGGUACCUGAAGAAUAAGCACCGGCUAACUACGUGCCAGCAGCCGCGGUAAUACGUAGGGUGCGAGCGUUAAUCGGAAUUACUGGGCGUAAAGCGGGCGCAGACGGUUACUUAAGCAGGAUGUGAAAUCCCCGGGCUCAACCUGGGAACUGCGUUCUGAACUGGGUAACUAGAGUGUGUCAGAGGGAGGUAGAAUUCCACGUGUAGCAGUGAAAUGCGUAGAGAUGUGGAGGAAUACCGAUGGCGAAGGCAGCCUCCUGGGAUAACACUGACGUUCAUGCCCGAAAGCGUGGGUAGCAAACAGGAUUAGAUACCCUGGUAGUCCACGCCCUAAACGAUGUCGAUUAGCUGUUGGGCAGCUUGACUGCUUAGUAGCGAAGCUAACGCGUGAAAUCGACCGCCUGGGGAGUACGGUCGCAAGAUUAAAACUCAAAGGAAUUGACGGGGACCCGCACAAGCGGUGGAUGAUGUGGAUUAAUUCGAUGCAACGCGAAGAACCUUACCUGGUCUUGACAUGUGCGGAACCCUCCAGAGACGGAGGGGUGCCUUCGGGAGCCGUAACACAGGUGCUGCAUGGCUGUCGUCAGCUCGUGUCGUGAGAUGUUGGGUUAAGUCCCGCAACGAGCGCAACCCUUGUCAUUAGUUGCCAUCAUUAAGUUGGGCACUCUAAUGAGACUGCCGGUGACAAGCCGGAGGAAGG
Molecule: ribosomal RNA, 1085 nt
Filed under: Neisseria sicca
Lineage: Bacteria; Pseudomonadati; Pseudomonadota; Betaproteobacteria; Neisseriales; Neisseriaceae
Description: bacterial SSU rRNA
Rfam family: Bacterial small subunit ribosomal RNA
Source: RNAcentral